ACUCUGUGCCCCACAGCGCCAUCCUUCUGCCCCACAGCACCAAGUGCCCCAUAGCGCUGUCCAUGUGCCCCACAGCAUCAUGUGCCCCAUAGCACUGCCAUGUGCCCCACAGCACCCACCCCACAGUGCCAUCCUUGAGCCCCACAGCGCCAUGUACCCUAUAGCGCUGUCCGUGUGCCCCACAGCGCCCACCCCACAGCACCAAGUGCCCCAUAGCACUGCUAUGUGCCCCACAGCAUCGCAACCCCACAUCAUCAUGUGCCCCAUAGUGCUGCCCGUGUGCCCCAUAGCAUCGCACCCCACAUCACCAUCCUUCUGCCCCACAGCAUCGUGUGCCCCAUAGCGCUGCCACGUGCCCCAUAGCGCUGACCACCUGCCCCACAGCACCCACCCACAGCCCGCCCCACAACAGUACCUGCAAUGCACCCACCCCAUAGCGCCCACCCACAGCACCCACCCACAACACCCACCCCACAGCACCCACCCCACAGCACCCUGCCCACAGCACCCUGCC
RNAcentral lists this long non-coding RNA (514 nucleotides) under Phasianus colchicus (ring-necked pheasant). RNAcentral's name for it is "lncRNA (ENSPCLG00000020300.1)". The record is from RNAcentral. Lineage: Eukaryota; Metazoa; Chordata; Aves; Galliformes; Phasianidae.